This 400-nucleotide ribosomal RNA is filed under the name uncultured bacterium. Its description in RNAcentral is "bacterial SSU rRNA". It matches the Rfam family "Bacterial small subunit ribosomal RNA", at positions 355 to 756 of the family's 1533-position model. The record is from RNAcentral.
UAGGGAAUUUUGCGCAAUGGGCGAAAGCCUGACGCAGCAACGCCGCGUGGAGGAUGACGUUUUUCGGAAUGUAAACUCCUGUUAAGAGGGAAGAAAAGCGGAUUGGUCCGCUUGACGGUACCUCUUGAGGAAGCCCCGGCUAACUUCGUGCCAGCAGCCGCGGUAAUACGAGGGGGGCAAGUGUUGUUCGGAUUUACUGGGUGUAAAGGGAGUGUAGGCGGUUUGGUAAGUCAGGGGUGAAAUGCCCACGCUUAACGUGGUGCCCUGCCUUUGAAACUACCAGGCUUGAAUGUUGGAGAGGGUAACGGAAUUCCAGGUGUAGCGGUGGAAUGCGUAGAUAUCUGGAAGAACACCAGUUGCGAAGGCGGUUACCUGGCCAAACAUUGACGCUGAGGCUCGA